CAGUCGCCGCGGUAAUACAGAGGGUGCAAGCGUUAAUCGGAAUUACUGGGCGUAAAGCGCGCGUAGGUGGUUCGCCAAGUUGGAUGUGAAAUCCCCGGGCUCAACCUGGGAACUGCAUCCAAAACUGGCGAGCUAGAGUAUGGUAGAGGGUGGUGGAAUUUCCUGUGUAGCGGUGAAAUGCGUAGGUAUAGGAAGGAACAUCAGUGGCGAAGGCGACCACCUGGACUGAUACUGACACUGAGGUGCGAAAGCGUGGGGAGCAAACAGGAUUAGAUACCCCUGUAGUCCCUGUCUCUUAUAC
RNAcentral lists this ribosomal RNA (301 nucleotides) under uncultured bacterium. RNAcentral describes it as "partial 16S ribosomal RNA". It matches the Rfam family "Bacterial small subunit ribosomal RNA", at positions 509 to 807 of the family's 1533-position model. The record is from RNAcentral.